RNAcentral lists this ribosomal RNA (300 nucleotides) under Triticum aestivum (bread wheat). RNAcentral describes it as "partial small subunit ribosomal RNA". The record is from RNAcentral. Lineage: Eukaryota; Viridiplantae; Streptophyta; Magnoliopsida; Poales; Poaceae.
GGGGUUGUGCUAACAAAAGACAACCUCGCACGACGCAACUGGUCAGAAAGUAAGAAAUGUUGUUUUUGUACUCAUGAUGAGACAAUUAAACACCUCUUUUUCCAAUGUAAGUUCGCGUGUUCUACAUGGUCAGCCAUCCAAAUAGCGUCAAAUUUAUAUCCGCCUACAAGUGUUGCCAAUAUUUUUCGUCAUUGGCUGGACGGUAUUUCAAAUAAGUACAAAACGCCAAUAAUGGUGGGAGCAUAUGCAUUACUAUGGUCGCUUUGGCUAUGUAGAAAUGAUGUUGUUUUUAAUGACUAA